UGCGCUCAUUCGCGCCUUCUACGUUUUCGUGUAGUAGCGCUGCUAGGCUAGGGUUCUUGAGGUGAGGAGGGCAGGGGCAAUGCCGGCCUCCAACGGCGGCAUCGAGAUCGAUGGCGAUGGCGAUGCCUUCUCCGCCGCGGAUCAGCCCACGAAUUCCAAUGUCCAGGUGGUUGUCCGGGUGAGGCCGCCGAAUCAGCGGGAGCACGAGCAGGGCUACAAGAAGGCUGCUGCCGUCGAUGCCGCAGCUCAGACGCUCACUCUCAGUGUCACGCCAUUUGCCAGAUCCUUCAAGUUUGAUUAUGUUGCCGAUGAGGACGUUGGCCAGGAAGAUAUUUUCCAAAGAGUGGGGAAGCCCAUCACGGAUGCUUGCUUGCAAGGAUACCAUUGCUGUCUCAUUGCUUACGGACAAACUGGUGCUGGAAAGACCUUCACAAUGGAAGGUCUCAGUGUCACGGAGGAUCAGGCUCAAGCGCAUGAAAUGCGUGGCCUGAUUCCUCGCAUUUUGGACUACAUGUUCCAGAGAAUGGGAGAGGAGAAAAAGGAGCGGCAGAAGGAUGUUGAAUAUGGCAUCAAGUGCUCGUAUCUUCAGAUAUAUAACGAGCAAGUGCAAGAUCUUCUAGAUCCCGACUCCGCUCAUUUAAAUAUCCGCGAGGAUACGAAGAAUGGAAUGUAUGUGGAUGGUCUCCAGGAAGUGGUCGUGCCAUCUGCAGAAGCUACUUAUGGAGUUUUUCGGCGUGGAUCUCAAAACCGGCACGUCGGGAUGACUGCUAUGAACAUUGAAAGCAGUAGGUCACAUAGCGUGUUUACUUUAGUGGUCGAGUCUCAGCGUGUUGUUGGUGGAGUGAUGAACAGAAAGACAUCGAGAUUUUAUCUUGUUGACUUAGCAGGAUCUGAGCGUCAGAAGUACAGCGAGACUAUUGGGAUUCGACUCAAAGAAGCUGGGAGUAUAAAUAAAUCGUUGUCCGCACUUGGAAACGUUAUAAAGGCGCUUGUGGACAUAUCAGAAGGCAAAGUAAGGCACGUUCCUUACCGGGACUCGAAGCUUACAUUCCUGCUGAAGGACGCUUUGGGUGGAAAUUCGAAGUGUACGCUAAUAGCGAAUGUGAGUCCAGCCGAUAAGAAUGGGGAGGAAACGCUUUCCACUCUUAAAUUUGCUCAAAGAGCGAAGUUGAUGAGAAACGCUGCCGUUGUUAACGAGGACAUGCUUGGUAAUCCAGCUAUUAUGGGCGAGGAAAUAAAGAGACUUAGACUCGAGAUUGCAACACUGCGAGCAAAUAUUGGAGCUCCAUCGCUGAUUUCGAUACCAACUGUGGCGGCAGAGGCACUCCCAGAAAGCGAGCGAAUCAGCCGCUUGGAACAUAUAUUAUCUGAAUCUACAAAGCAGUCUCUAGCCGCUGAAAGGAAAUCAGCUCUAGAGCUGCACGAACUCGCCACGAAGUACGAGGCUGCACAAGCGGUUUGUGAGCGACUGGAAACAGCUUUACAGUCGCAAAAAAUGAUAACGAGGUUGCGUGAAUGUGCUAUCAAAAGAGUUGAGGGUGGCCGUCCAGCUACUGACGGUGAUGAUGGAACUUCCGAAAUGAAAGAAGAGAUUGAACAGUUACGCAAACAAGUAGAGCAUCAUCCAGACGUUGUGAGGUUUAAGAUGGAACUCGAUCUCUGUAAAGCCAAACUCGAGGAAUACGAGCACAAGGACAAAGGCGAGGAGCAUGUUGCUCAACUUGAAAACUACAGCCAGACGCUAAAGCUUGAAUUGCAAGACACUUUAGAAGAAAAGGCUAAGCUUGAUGAAGCCAUGGCUGCCAUGAAAGCUGAGAAUGAGUCAGCAAGAGCUCAAGUACUAGUAGCCGAAGAGCAGUUUUUGAAGCUGCAAGAGGCAGCAGAAAAAUGUAAGAAGGAAGCUACGGAGGCGAUACAAAAGCAAGAGAAGACGGACGAAAGGCUACGUGAAGCAAUACAAGAACAGGACCGGGUUUGGCGAAUGUGCAACCUGGCAGAAGCACAAGCAACAGAACUCGCUCUUGAGCUUGCCAAAGAGAAGUCUGACGCAUCAAAGGCGCUACAGAAAGAAAAGGAGAUUUUAAAUUCCAUGGUGCAAGUCAUCAGUGGGGAGCGAGAUGAGGCAGCAAGAACAUCGAGUGAACUGGCAACGAAACUAGAUAUUGCCCUCGCUGCAAAUGCUCUUUUAGAGUCUCGCAUCAGAGAUUUGGAGGGAAGGCUGGUUGAAAAGAGAAGAGAGAGCAUAAGUUGAGAUCUGUACACAUGUGCUUUUUGUUGGUAUUGUGGGUAUCAAAAUUUUAACCAACCGGUAACAGGAAGUGAUCCAGCGCACCCAUGAAAAGCUUGGCUUUUACUUGUAGAUACUCGUUCCAAGUGAGGCAGCGGUAAAGAGGUUUGCUGGGAUGGAUGGGGCAAAUGGAAACCGUGGGAGGCGGGGUGAAGAAGUAAACCAGCGAGAGACGUUCGAAGCGUUCGUUAACGAGAGCUCUGUGCAAGGCACUGUGGAAGACGUUGUUGCUCAUCAACUGUAGAAAGGCAAGGCAAGGCAAAGCACUGUCAGAGGCUGGAAAAACUGGAUGAGAUUCCAGGAUACCUGAAGCAUGUCACCGACUUGGAUGACAAAGGCACCGGGAACAGGCUUGAUGGCGAUCCACUUGUCACCUCUUUUCACUUGCAAGCCUCCGACGCUGCCUUGGUGCAUGAUGGUGAGGCAGCUGGAAUCGGUGUGGGACGCGAGACCCAUUGCUUCCGAGGGGCUGGGACAGGGGGGAUAGAAGUUCAUGUGGAUCAUCCCCCAGAAGUUCCGGAUAUGUUGGUGAAUUCGCUCCUCGCUUGCUUCCAGGCCGUGGAGGAUGAGGUCGGUGAUGAGCAGGGCCAGGCCGCGCAUCGCCUUAUCGUACUCUUCAAACGACUUGCUGCCAAGGACAGAGACAAAAACCGUGAGAGCAUGAAAAAGACGUCGUCGUUUGUUGGUACGCGAAAGAAAUCUUGCUCGCUGUGGACGCAGAGCUUGCGAGCGUAGGCCUCGAAAUUGUUGUGCGGAGAGCCCAUCAUGGUGAAGGCCUCGGACCACAUUAGCCGGUUGAAGAAGGAGGCCAUUCUGGUGGCGCCGUAGCCGAAGAGAGUCCCGGGUGGUCUCUCGGCCCGGAGCUUGUCCGACUCGGGGAGAGCAAACAAGUCGAGGCUCGUCCUCCGCGCUCGCUCCACAACUUGGUCAGGCACGCCGUGAUUCACCACCUGGAACGCUCCCCACUCGCGGCAGGCGGAUCUCAUCUCCUCGCAUAUCUCCUUGCGCCUCUCAUCGGAUCGAUCCAGCUCCGCCAGGUCGAUCACAGGCACCACCACCUCGUCCUCCAGCUCCGCCGGAUCAUCCUCCGCUGCUGCCGUCUCGCUCGAGCUCCAGCGAUAAGCUUCCGGGAGCUGCUGCCCUCUCUCGAGCAUCUUGCUGAGGCUUCCUACAUUCGACACCGAUCGCAGGAGCUGGGCUCCGCAGGAAGAAGGCGUGGGAGACUGGGAGAGCCCCGAUGGGAGCCGUGUUGUUCCUAGCAUCAUCUAUCUCCAAGGUAGACUAUAUAAAAACCAAAGUAUCAGGAGUUAUGAA
RNA transcript from Selaginella moellendorffii, 3601 nucleotides. It is a transcript of the gene named kinesin-like protein KIF15, with no coding region annotated. The record is from RefSeq and is a predicted model, not a curated record. The transcript has 21 exons. Lineage: Eukaryota; Viridiplantae; Streptophyta; Lycopodiopsida; Selaginellales; Selaginellaceae.